This 488-nucleotide ribosomal RNA is filed under the name Bacillus inaquosorum. RNAcentral's name for it is "bacterial SSU rRNA". It matches the Rfam family "Bacterial small subunit ribosomal RNA", at positions 125 to 598 of the family's 1533-position model. The record is from RNAcentral. Lineage: Bacteria; Bacillati; Bacillota; Bacilli; Caryophanales; Bacillaceae.
CCUGCCUGUAAGACUGGGAUAACUCCGGGAAACCGGGGCUAAUACCGGAUGGUUGUUUGAACCGCAUGGUUCAAACAUAAAAGGUGGCUUCGGCUACCACUUACAGAUGGACCCGCGGCGCAUUAGCUAGUUGGUGAGGUAACGGCUCACCAAGGCAACGAUGCGUAGCCGACCUGAGAGGGUGAUCGGCCACACUGGGACUGAGACACGGCCCAGACUCCUACGGGAGGCAGCAGUAGGGAAUCUUCCGCAAUGGACGAAAGUCUGACGGAGCAACGCCGCGUGAGUGAUGAAGGUUUUCGGAUCGUAAAGCUCUGUUGUUAGGGAAGAACAAGUACCGUUCGAAUAGGGCGGUACCUUGACGGUACCUAACCAGAAAGCCACGGCUAACUACGUGCCAGCAGCCGCGGUAAUACGUAGGUGGCAAGCGUUGUCCGGAAUUAUUGGGCGUAAAGGGCUCGCAGGCGGUUUCUUAAGUCUGAUGUGAA